RNAcentral lists this ribosomal RNA (409 nucleotides) under bacterium. Its description in RNAcentral is "partial 16S ribosomal RNA". It matches the Rfam family "Bacterial small subunit ribosomal RNA", at positions 355 to 776 of the family's 1533-position model. The record is from RNAcentral.
UGGGGAAUAUUGCACAAUGGGCGAAAGCCUGAUGCAGCGACGCCGCGUGAGGGAUGACGGCCUUCGGGUUGUAAACCUCUUUCAGCAGGGACGAAGCGCAAGUGACGGUACCUGCAGAAGAAGCACCGGCUAACUACGUGCCAGCAGCCGCGGUAAUACGUAGGGUGCAAGCGUUGUCCGGAAUUACUGGGCGUAAAGAGUUCGUAGGCGGUUUGUCGCGUCGUUUGUGAAAACCAGCAGCUCAACUGCUGGCUUGCAGGCGAUACUGGCAGACUUGAGUACUGCAGGGGAGACUUGAAUUCCUGGUGUAGCGGUGAAAUGCGCAGAUAUCAGGAGGAACACCGGUGGCGAAGGCGGGUCUCUGGGCAGUAACUGACGCUGAGGAACGAAAGGGUGGGUAGCGAACAGG